This is a non-coding RNA of Cordylochernes scorpioides, 76 nucleotides long. Lineage: Eukaryota; Metazoa; Arthropoda; Arachnida; Pseudoscorpiones; Chernetidae. The record is from the annotation of a GenBank genome assembly.
GGAUUCUGAUGAUGGGAUUCGAACCCACAAUCUUUGGCUUAGAAGGCUAACGUCUUAUCUCUUAGGCCACAGGACC